UACGUAGGGGGCGAGCGUUGUCCGGAUUUAUUGGGCGUAAAGAGCGUGUAGGCGGCCAGGUAGGUCUGCUGUGAAAACUCGAGGCUCAACCUCGAGACGUCGGCGGAAACCAUCUGGCUAGAGUCCGGAAGAGGAGAGUGGAAUUCCUGGUGUAGCGGUGAAAUGCGCAGAUAUCGUAAGGAAGGCCGGUGGCGAAAGCGAGCCUCUGGACAGUUACUGACGCUGAUGCACGAAGGCCAGGGGAGCAAACGGG
This 253-nucleotide ribosomal RNA is filed under the name uncultured bacterium. RNAcentral describes it as "partial 16S ribosomal RNA". It matches the Rfam family "Bacterial small subunit ribosomal RNA", at positions 524 to 776 of the family's 1533-position model. The record is from RNAcentral.